This is a long non-coding RNA of Pseudopipra pipra, 308 nucleotides long. RefSeq lists it as uncharacterized. NCBI's taxonomy places the organism in Eukaryota, Metazoa, Chordata, Aves, Passeriformes, Pipridae. The transcript has 2 exons. The record is from RefSeq and is a predicted model, not a curated record.
UGGGACCCGGAGCUGGGCCUGACCCUUGGGCUAGUGCUGGUCCCAGACCUGCCCUGGGACUGGAUGUGGGCCUCGCCCCGUAUCCGCAGGGAUGCCUGUGCUCCCAGCUCCUCCUGACCCCCCAGCAGAGCUCCAAGGACACCCUCUGUCUUUGCUGACUUCCUUCCCAUGUUUGCCGCAGCCUGGAGCUCUUUGUGGCCAUGGGUGUUCCAGUGCCUGAUGUGGCCGGGAGAGAAGAUAUUAACAGAGAGAUCCAGAUCCAUUCAUCCAGUGAAUUAAUGUUAAAUAAAGAGAAAUCCAGUCCCCAA